RNAcentral lists this ribosomal RNA (621 nucleotides) under Pseudoalteromonas arctica. RNAcentral describes it as "partial 23S ribosomal RNA". It matches the Rfam family "Bacterial large subunit ribosomal RNA", at positions 1081 to 1704 of the family's 2925-position model. The record is from RNAcentral. Lineage: Bacteria; Pseudomonadati; Pseudomonadota; Gammaproteobacteria; Alteromonadales; Pseudoalteromonadaceae.
AGGCCCAGACAGCCAGGAGGUUGGCUUAGAAGCAGCCAUCCUUUAAAGAAAGCGUAAUAGCUCACUGGUCGAGUCGGUCUGCGCGGAAGAUGUAACGGGGCUAAACUAUGCACCGAAGCUGCGGAUUCAGAAUUUAUUCUGAGUGGUAGGGGAGCGUUCUGUAAGCGGUUGAAGGUGUACCGGGAGGUAUGCUGGACGUAUCAGAAGUGCGAAUGCUGACAUGAGUAACGAUAAUGCGGGUGAAAAACCCGCACGCCGGAAGACCAAGGGUUCCUAUCCCAUGUUAAUCAGGGUAGGGUAAGUCGACCCCUAAGGCGAGGCCGAAAGGCGUAGUCGAUGGGAAACGGAUUAAUAUUUCCGUACUUGGUAUAAUUGCGAUGGGGGGACGGAGCAGGCUAAGCAAGCAUGGCGAUGGUAGUCCAUGUGAAAGUGUGUAGGCUAGUGACUUAGGUAAAUCCGGGUUGCUGUUAGGCUGAGACACGAGACGAGUCACCAAGGUGAUGAAGUUGCUGAUGCCAUACUUCCAGGAAAAGCCUCUAAGCUUCAGAUUAUACCGAAUCGUACCCCAAACCGACACAGGUGGUCAGGUAGAGAAUACUAAGGCGCUUGAGAGAACUCGGG